RNAcentral lists this unclassified non-coding RNA (378 nucleotides) under plant metagenome. RNAcentral's name for it is "partial contains 5.8S ribosomal RNA, internal transcribed spacer 2, and large subunit ribosomal RNA". The stretch from base 1 to 105 matches the Rfam family "5.8S ribosomal RNA", at positions 50 to 154 of the family's 154-position model. The record is from RNAcentral.
GAAAUGCGAUAAGUAAUGUGAAUUGCAGAAUUCAGUGAAUCAUCGAAUCUUUGAACGCACCUUGCGCUCCUUGGUAUUCCUUGGAGCAUGCCUGUUUGAGUAUCAUGAAAUCUUCAAAGUAAAUCUUUUGUUAACUCAAUUGGUUUCUACUUUGGUAUUGGAGGUCUUUGCAGCUUCACACCUGCUCCUCUUUGUUCAUUAGCUGGAUCUCAGUGUUAUGCUUGGUUCCACUCGGCGUGAUAAGUUAUCUAUCGCUGAGGACACUGUAAAAGGUGGCCAAGGUAAAUGCAGAUGAACCGCUUCUAGUAGUCCAUUGACUUGAACAAUACUUUUAUGAUCUGAUCUCAAAUCAGGUAGGACUACCCGCUGAACUUAAGC